UCCCUGGUAGCUCAGAUGGUAAAAUGUCUGCCUGCAAUGCGGGAGACCCAGGUUCGAUUCCUGGGUCGGGAA
This is a non-coding RNA of Bos taurus (domestic cattle), 72 nucleotides long. The record is from Rfam. Lineage: Eukaryota; Metazoa; Chordata; Mammalia; Artiodactyla; Bovidae.